RNAcentral lists this ribosomal RNA (420 nucleotides) under Triticum aestivum (bread wheat). RNAcentral's name for it is "partial small subunit ribosomal RNA". Lineage: Eukaryota; Viridiplantae; Streptophyta; Magnoliopsida; Poales; Poaceae. The record is from RNAcentral.
AUGCCGAACUCCGUCAAGAAACCAGCGCCCUGGCCUGAUCCGCAGAGCGCCACCGCGUCGGAUAUGCCUUCCAGGCAGCGUCUCCCGCACAGUUCUCACCCGAUCGUGCGGCAAAUCCGUCUCUGCAGGCAAAUGGAGGCAGCGGUUAGGUCCCUUUCAUUGUGGUUGCAGGAUAUUAUUAUUAUUCAGGAACAUGAAAACUGGACCAAAGAAAAGAGGAAAAGGCAUCCAGUUCUUUUUGAGAAAUGGAAAGAUGAUAGGCUGAGAAUCAUAUGCAAAGUUAAGGAGCAAUCAAUGGUGAUGGCUCUUCCCUGCAGGGAAGCAUCUAUACAUACACGUAUAAUGUUUGUAAUAGUUGCAGCAUCUAUACAUACACCAGAGCAUGGCUUUAAAUUCAUGCACACCUUUAGAAAAAGGUAA